This is a non-coding RNA of Gossypium raimondii (Peruvian cotton), 144 nucleotides long. NCBI's taxonomy places the organism in Eukaryota, Viridiplantae, Streptophyta, Magnoliopsida, Malvales, Malvaceae. The record is from Rfam.
UAUUAAAAUUUCAUCUAUUUAUAUUGUUAAAAAUUGGUUUUGUUGACAGAAUAACUGGAUAGUAAUAUGUAACAUGCUAUAUAUAUCUCAUGUCGGCAUGUAGGGACAAAUUUUUAGCAAUAUAAAUGGAUGAAUUUUUUAAUA